CCUACGGGAGGCUGCAGUGGGGAAUAUUGGACAAUGGGGGCAACCCUGAUCCAGCCAUGCCGCGUGUGUGAAGAAGGCCCUCGGGUUGUAAAGCACUUUCAGUGAGGAAGAACGCCUGGUGGUUAAUACCCAUCAGGAAAGACAUCACUCACAGAAGAAGCACCGGCUAACUCCGUGCCAGCAGCCGCGGUAAUACGGAGGGUGCGAGCGUUAAUCGGAAUUACUGGGCGUAAAGCGCGCGUAGGUGGCUUGAUAAGCCGGUUGUGAAAGCCCCGGGCUCAACCUGGGAACGGCAUCCGGAACUGUCAAGCUAGAGUGAAGGAGAGGAAGGUAGAAUUCCCGGUGUAGCGGUGAAAUGCGUAGAGAUCGGGAGGAAUACCAGUGGCGAAGGCGGCCUUCUGGACUGACACUGACACUGAGGUGCGAAAGCGUGGGUAGCAAACAGGAUUAGAUACCCGUGUAGUC
RNAcentral lists this ribosomal RNA (465 nucleotides) under Vreelandella stevensii. Its description in RNAcentral is "partial 16S ribosomal RNA". It matches the Rfam family "Bacterial small subunit ribosomal RNA", at positions 338 to 795 of the family's 1533-position model. Lineage: Bacteria; Pseudomonadati; Pseudomonadota; Gammaproteobacteria; Oceanospirillales; Halomonadaceae. The record is from RNAcentral.